GGCUACCUGAAGGAGAUGCUUGCUACAGCUUUCCUGAGGUUAAAUCACCUGUCACAUUGUGGGCUUUCCACUGACACCAAGGAAAUAUCAACAAUGAGGAGGGGAUGAAGACGGGGAAGAAGGGAACAAAGUGCAAUUUGGACCAUAUUUAGUCCAUGAGGUUCCAUAUACAAAGUCCUUAGGCAUCUGAAAGCUGGUCUUUUCUGACACAGUGUGAUCUUCUUUCACUUGUUUGUAACAAUGGGCAACCAUUCUGACAAAAAAAAACAGCAAUUUUUCUUGUAACAAAAUUUUCUUCAUAACAAAACUAAACAAUAAUAUACAA
This is a long non-coding RNA of Mastomys coucha (southern multimammate mouse), 325 nucleotides long. RefSeq lists it as uncharacterized. The record is from RefSeq and is a predicted model, not a curated record. NCBI's taxonomy places the organism in Eukaryota, Metazoa, Chordata, Mammalia, Rodentia, Muridae. The transcript has 2 exons.